AGUGAACGCUGGCGGUAGGCCUAACACAUGCAAGUCGAACGGCAGCACAGUAAGAGCUUGCUCUUACGGGUGGCGAGUGGCGGACGGGUGAGGAAUACAUCGGAAUCUACUUUUUCGUGGGGGAUAACGUAGGGAAACUUACGCUAAUACCGCAUACGGCCUACGGGUGAAAGCAGGGGAUCUUCGGACCUUGCGCGAUUGAAUGAGCCGAUGUCGGAUUAGCUAGUUGGCGGGGUAAAGGCCCACCAAGGCGACGAUCCGUAGCUGGUCUGAGAGGAUGAUCAGCCACACUGGAACUUAGACACGGUCCAGACUCCUACGGGAGGCAGCAGUGGGGAAUAUUGGACAAUGGGCGCAAGCCUGAUCCAGCCAUACCGCGUGGGUGAAGAAGGCCUUCGGGUUGUAAAGCCCUUUUGUUGGGAAAGAAAAGCAGCAGGUUAAUACCCCGCUGUUCUGACGGUACCCAAAGAAUAAGCACCGGCUAACUUCGUG
This 492-nucleotide ribosomal RNA is filed under the name uncultured bacterium. Its description in RNAcentral is "partial 16S ribosomal RNA". It matches the Rfam family "Bacterial small subunit ribosomal RNA", at positions 29 to 507 of the family's 1533-position model. The record is from RNAcentral.